This 695-nucleotide ribosomal RNA is filed under the name uncultured bacterium. RNAcentral's name for it is "bacterial SSU rRNA". It matches the Rfam family "Bacterial small subunit ribosomal RNA", at positions 32 to 715 of the family's 1533-position model. The record is from RNAcentral.
AACGCUAGCUACAGGCUUAACACAUGCAAGUCGGGGGGCAGCAUUAUCGAAGCUUGCUUUGAUAGAUGGCGACCGGCGCACGGGUGAGUAACGCGUAUCCAACCUUCCCCAUAGUCAGGAAUAGCCCGGCGAAAGUCGAAUUAAUGCCUGAUGUUUUCCACGGACGGCAUCCGAUGUGGAACAAAGAUUGAUCGCUAUGGGAUGGGGAUGCGUCUGAUUAGCUUGUUGGCGGGGUAACGGCCCACCAAGGCAACGAUCAGUAGGGGUUCUGAGAGGAAGGUCCCCCACAUUGGAACUGAGACACGGUCCAAACUCCUACGGGAGGCAGCAGUGAGGAAUAUUGGUCAAUGGGCGGAAGCCUGAACCAGCCAAGUAGCGUGAGGGAUGACUGCCCUAUGGGUUGUAAACCUCUUUUAUAAGGGAAUAAAAUACGGGACGUGUCCUGUUUUGCAUGUACCUUAUGAAUAAGGACCGGCUAAUUCCGUGCCAGCAGCCGCGGUAAUACGGAAGGUCCGGGCGUUAUCCGGAUUUAUUGGGUUUAAAGGGAGCGCAGGCGGUCUUAUAAGCGUGACGUGAAAUGCAGCGGCUCAACCGUAUGAUGUGCGUCGCGAACUGUGAGACUUGAGUGUAUUCGAUGUCAGCGGAAUUUGUGGUGUAGCGGUGAAAUGCUUAGAUAUCACGAAGAACUCCGAUUG